RNAcentral lists this long non-coding RNA (2696 nucleotides) under Solanum tuberosum (potato). RNAcentral's name for it is "long non-coding RNA (STUB_LNC008774)". Lineage: Eukaryota; Viridiplantae; Streptophyta; Magnoliopsida; Solanales; Solanaceae. The record is from RNAcentral.
GACAUCACACAACUAUGUGUUCUAUUUUCUUACAUCUUAUUUGAGCAUUGAUUAUGUCCUCUGAUAAGCUUAAAUUGAAGUAACCGAAAUAUGUCAUGCACCACACUGCAAAUUCAAUAGGAAGACACCAUUGAAUUCAUAUUUUAUUUGGUAACAAUGAAUAUUCUCAGUUUUGAAUUGAAAAAAAUUCUCAUAUUGAUAUGUAGUAUGAAGUUCUCUAAGCAAUAAUCAAGAAAGUUAAAUAGUUCUAGCUUCUACUAUUAACACUGAGAUUUCCAGAAUCAAGCUUCCAAUGUUCAAUCAGCAAACAACUUAAAAUAAAUCUCCUUUAAGAAAUCUUACUCUGCCCCACGAAAUAAGCAAAACAAACAUUUGCUUCCUUGAGAAUUCCAUGGAUCCUUCAGCCCUGAAGUCCCCUGAAUUGCAGCAAUUUUUCAGUCGUGAAGGAAAGGGCCAUGGACAGUGAAAUAAUUGCAAAGCUUACAAAUGCUUGUUGGGGUAAAUGCAUCACUGAUAUUCCUAGAAGCAAGUUCAACUUCAUUUGAUCUAAUUAUUUAACCAUCUGUCCACAAUGUGAUAUGAAAAUGAGCUUGAUCAAUGUCAAGACACAAGAGAGUACAAUGAUCACAUUUUUACUCGAAACUCAAGUGUCACGGUGUACAAUAAAAUUAUGCUAUGGUCGUCCUGGCUCUUCAUGCUUCUAUAUAGUAGAAAUAAGUAGUAAUAGUAAUUCAAAAUUUCUGCUAAAGUUAAACAAACAGAAUAACUGAGUUAUUUUUAUAAAAAUUUCAAUAAAAUCUGUAGAUGAAGGAAGUAGAUCCUAAAGCACUAAAAUUUGUAUUUUCGCUCACCUCUCUUUUUAAAACUUUGAAAGAAAAUACUUAAAAUAACUACUGUAAUAAGUUGCAUGUUACAUGACUUAAUUUAGUCUUUCUUGUCCUCGAUUCAUUUAAUUAAGUUUGAUGUGAAUCUAUGAUUACAUGCUAGUCUGGGAAAUAAAUUAAGCUUAAAAAUGAUGUAUUUGAUAUGAGGAAAGUCAUUUUGUGUCCAUUUCCUAUGGAUACACUAAAGAUCAUAACUGUCUAAAUAUUUUCAAUACAUGAAUUGUUGUAGAUGUUGUUUCACAUUCAUUUCAUGCAAGCUAUUAAGAUCAAGAUUUGCCUCAAUGGCAGAAACAACACCAAAUACCACUACAGAUUAAUAAAAUCCGAAAGACAAUGAUCUCACCCGUGCUUUUUCAUAAUGAAUUGAUCAACUUCACCAUAGUAAUUCUUAGGACAUUAAUUAGACACCAAAAAACAAUUAAUAAUCCUGAAAUGAAAACCCACAAAUUUCAAGUUUUCAUAUCACAAUUCAAUCUUUAACUCAACUGUACUUCAUACAUAAUGAUCCCCACAAGAAGAUUUUUAUAAAAUAAAUCGAUAGAUUGGGGGUUCGAUUCAUACCUCAUACCGACAACCUCAUAUUCUUCCAUCUUCUGUGGCGCAACCAGAGUUUCAAAAUAUGACAAACCAAAUUAGUGCAAGGUUUAACACCUUUUCUAUAUAUAUAACAAAAAAAAUUAUAUGUUAAGUCUUUUUUUUUAGUUGUAUGUGAAACCAUUUGAUUUGUAAGUUUGCCAAUCUUGGUAGUUCCAAGUAAACAAAAAUUGCAAAAAAAUUCGAAGCACAUAUGCAAUGUCUAGAGUGCAAUUAAGGCUUCCAAGGAACCAAGCAUCCAUCACAACGUUUGUAAUACUACAAGUUCAGAUUACCAUCGAGUAAAUCAAAAGAUAAAAAAUUAGGUGUUUCUAGCAUGGUCAUGCCACUACAAUAAAAAUAGCUUUUAGUGGCUAAAAACAUCUUAUAUAUUGUCGAUAAAUGUAUAUUUAUUGUGCGGCUAGAAAUUUCACAACAAAUUUUGUGAUUAUUUAUCAUGGUUGAUUAAACAAUCUCUUGAUAAAUAAUCAUGAAAUUUUUUGAUGAUUUUGGGAUGUCUAACAAUUUCUUAGUCAACUGUGAUAAAUGCCAGGACACAAUUUUUUGAACAAGUGAAACGUUUUCUUCUCUUUGUUACAAUAACAAACCUCUGAAAGCCAUUGCAUUUUCUUUAGUAGAAACUUCAAGGUUUGAAAAGCUUACAAAACCCCACUUCAGACCACACCUUCAAAAGUGUCAUUAGGCGCGCAGCCAACGAUACUAACAUUCUUGAGAUCUGGAAAACAUGAUGUUUGGAAUCCAACUUGGAAAAUUGAUGUUAUGUACUUCAGCGAAAUAGCUUAGCUCAAGCCUGGCAGGGGCUCGUAAAACUCAGAUUUGAUGUGUAUGUUGAGUGACUCUAAAAGAGGCGAGGUUUGCAAAGGCUGGCUAUUCCAUACAGAUUAUACUAUGUUACAUGCAUUUAUAGAGUUAGGCAUUUGCAUCACUUUGUCAAGUCUCAUCAUGAACAAACUAAUUAGCCUCGUGUUAGUACACUUAUACUAUUAUUCGGUUUUUAAAAGAACACUAAGUGCAUCUAAUAUAAACACUAAUAAUAUGCGUAGCUAAAUAAGUGUAUUGUAUAUCAGUAGAAACUUAACUGAGAAGCUUCGUGUCUAUAGGCAUUUUGAGACUCUAAUGUGGAACCUCUGAAAACGAAACUAAGAAGCUUCUUGUCGAUAUGCAUUUCGAGACUCUAAUGUGCAACCUCUCAAAGCUGAAAAUUGAUUUGGUGAGGUC